AGUUUUGUGAUGCUAGGCUGUAAAACUUGUAACUCCUCUUCGUCUCUCAUCAAGUUUGUUGCAACCCAAUAUCCCGAUUUGACAGUAUAUUUUCCAGUCUUUGUGUAACUCCAGCAAAAUGUAUCACGUCGAUGAGUAGGACUAAUGGUCAGACUCAGAAUCAUCGGGAUGUCUUCUUGAGCUACAUAUUGUUCCAAUAGUCGAGUAUCCCACUCUUUGGUAACAGGAUUAAUAAGGCUGCUGACAAGCAUCUUAGGAUUCACCGCUGGAGCUCGGGCAUGAGCCGGCCUAGCUGGCAUCGUAGGGAUCCAAGGAUCUUCCCACACAUUAAUUUCGUACCCUGAGUGCACCUUACUUCUAAUUCCCAAAAGUAAUAACUUCCUCGCGGCAGUUAUACUUGUCCAUACAUAAGAUGGAGAAUCCACAGUG
This 429-nucleotide long non-coding RNA is filed under the name Brassica napus (rape). Its description in RNAcentral is "long non-coding RNA (BNAP_LNC024765)". Lineage: Eukaryota; Viridiplantae; Streptophyta; Magnoliopsida; Brassicales; Brassicaceae. The record is from RNAcentral.